UACGUAGGGGGCAAGCGUUGUCCGGAUUUAUUGGGCGUAAAGCGCGUGUAGGCGGCCAUGCAGGUCCGUUGUGAAAACUCGAGGCUCAACCUCGAGACGUCGGUGGAAACCGCAUGGCUAGAGUCCGGAAGAGGAGAGUGGAAUUCCUGGUGUAGCGGUGAAAUGCGCAGAUAUCAGGAAGAACACCCGUGGCGAAGGCGGCUCUCUGGGACGGUACUGACGCUGAGACGCGAAAGCGUGGGGAGCGAACAGG
Molecule: ribosomal RNA, 253 nt
Filed under: uncultured bacterium
Lineage: Bacteria
Description: partial 16S ribosomal RNA
Rfam family: Bacterial small subunit ribosomal RNA
Source: RNAcentral